CCUGGUUGAUUCUGCCAGUAGUCAUAUGCUUGUCUUAAAGAUUAAGCCAUGCAUGUCUAAGUAUAAGCAAUUAUACAGCGAAACUGCGAAUGGCUCAUUAAAUCAGUUAUCGUUUAUUUGAUAGUACCUUACUACAUGGAUAACCGUGGUAAUUCUAGAGCUAAUACAUGCUGAAAACCCCGACUUCGGAAGGGGUGUAUUUAUUAGAUUAAAAGCCAAUGCCCUCCGGGGCUCACUGGUGAUUCAUGAUAACUUCUCGAAUCGCACGGCCUUGCGCCGGCGAUGGUUCAUUCAAAUUUCUGCCCUAUCAACUUUCGACGGCUGGGUCUUGGCCAGCCGUGGUGACAACGGGUAACGGAGGGUUAGGGCUCGACCCCGGAGAAAACGCCUGAGAAACGGCGUUUACAUCCAAGGAAGGCAGCAGGCGCGCAAAUUACCCAAUGCCGACACGGCGAGGUAGUGACGAGAAAUACUGAUACAGGGCUCUUUUGGGUCUUGUAAUUGGAAUGAGUACAAUUUAAAUCUCUUAACGAGGAACAAUUGGAGGGCAAGUCUGGUGCCAGCAGCCGCGGUAAUUCCAGCUCCAAUAGCGUAUAUUAAAGUUGUUGCAGUUAAAAAGCUCGUAGUUGAACCUUGGGCCUGGCUGGCCGGUCCGCCUCACCGCGUGCACUGGUCCGGCCGGGCCUUUCCCUCUGGGGAGCCCCAUGCCCUUUACUGGGCGUGGCGGGGAACCAGGACUUUUACUUUGAAAAAAUUAGAGUGUUCAAAGCAGGCCUAUGCUCGAAUACAUUAGCAUGGAAUAAUAGAAUAGGACGUGUGGUUCUAUUUUGUUGNGUCUGCUUAAUUGCGAUAACGAACGAGACCUUAACCUGCUAAAUAGCCCGCGUCGCUUUGGCGGCGCGCAGGCUUCUUAGAGGGACUAUCGGCUCAAGCCGAUGGAAGUUUGAGGCAAUAACAGGUCUGUGAUGCCCUUAGAUGUUCUGGGCCGCACGCGCGCUACACUGACACAGCCAGCGAGUCCUUCCUUGGCCGAGAGGCCCGGGUAAUCUUGUUAAACUGUGUCGUGCUGGGGAUAGAGCAUUGCAAUUAUUGCUCUUCAACGAGGAAUCCCUAGUAAGCGCAAGUCAUCAGCUUGCGUUGAUUACGUCCCUGCCCUUUGUACACACCGCCCGUCGCUACUACCGAUUGAACGGCUCAGUGAGGCCUUCGGACUGGCCCAGGGAGGUGGGCAACUACCACCCAGGUGCCGGAAAGUUGUACGAACUCGGUCGUUUAGAGGAAGUAAAAGUCGUAACAAGGUCUCCGUUGGUGAACCAGCGGAGGGAUCAUUA
Molecule: ribosomal RNA, 1331 nt
Filed under: Gaeumannomyces sp. JS-464
Lineage: Eukaryota; Fungi; Ascomycota; Sordariomycetes; Magnaporthales; Magnaporthaceae
Description: SSU rRNA
Rfam family: Eukaryotic small subunit ribosomal RNA
Source: RNAcentral